Molecule: ribosomal RNA, 290 nt
Filed under: uncultured bacterium
Lineage: Bacteria
Description: partial 16S ribosomal RNA
Rfam family: Bacterial small subunit ribosomal RNA
Source: RNAcentral
GUGGAUUAGAUACCCUGGUAGUCCAUGCCGUAAACGUUGGGCACUAGGUGUGGGGGACAUUCCACGUUUUCCGCGCCGUAGCUAACGCAUUAAGUGCCCCGCCUGGGGAGUACGGCCGCAAGGCUAAAACUCAAAGGAAUUGACGGGGGCCCGCACAAGCGGCGGAGCAUGCGGAUUAAUUCGAUGCAACGCGAAGAACCUUACCAAGGCUUGACAUGGACCGGAUCGCCGCAGAAAUGUGGUUUCCCCUUUGGGGCUGGUUUACAGGUGGUGCAUGUCCGUCGCCAACU